This is a long non-coding RNA of Alligator mississippiensis (American alligator), 2545 nucleotides long. RefSeq lists it as uncharacterized. The record is from RefSeq and is a predicted model, not a curated record. Lineage: Eukaryota; Metazoa; Chordata; Crocodylia; Alligatoridae. The transcript is spliced from 3 exons.
GCUAGUUAAGCUUGUGAGAAAGAGGAGCCAAGCAGCAAGAUAAAAGCAUUUACCAGGAUUUGAAUCUGAAGAGCUGAACUGGGAGAGAUGUCCCUGUGUCAUGUGCCGGGGCAGUUGUUGGUGCCAAAAUAUGCUCCCGAGUAGUGAUGCGUGAGUUGCUGGGAUGGACCAAUUUUAAGACUCUUCGGAUAUGUGGUUGCCUGAAAAUUCAGGGAACUCCACGCAGUGAGCCAGGAGGCUCCUUCCAGUCCUGUGUCCCUGCAUAAUCUGGGUAAGCGUGAACACAAGGCAUCUGAGCAAGGCCAAGGAGGAGGAGGACUCUCUGGAAGACCCCCUAGGAGGCUGCUGACACACAAUCGCUGAAUGGCAGGGGUCUAAGCAACUUCCCCACACAACAGGCCGCUGCAAAAGAAGAGGCUCGAGGUGCAGAAGUGAUUGUGUGGUCACAACACCGCUGGGUUCAGAAACGUGAGUCACCGACAGCUGGCCACAGAGAGCCCCAGAGCACUAGAGGAAAAUUAUGAACAGGAACACAAAACAACUUGAAGGAACAAGUAAAGGUCAUCAUAACCUGAAGAGUCGUGCCAGCCUUUUGAGGGAAACCAGCAACAAAAUUCCCGUUGCCGGUGUUUUAAUGAAAUAGAGCCUGCUGAACUGUUCUGUCGAGUCCUGGCAGGAGCCAUCAAGCGAAAGCAAUAUUUCCUUUGCUUUUUUUUUUGGUAAAACAGAAACACAAAUGAAAUUUACUCAUUUAUCACAAUCCGGGAAGUUCAGACCAAAAUGUAUCAGCGCAGCAUGGAGUAAUGGAAACCAACGGUUGCAGGAGUUGAAUACCUGAAGAAAUGCCUUAAGUGGAGCGUUGCUGUGAAACAAUGAAAAGUGGUGAGACAGAACUUAAAGACGUGCAUGGGAGUGCUUUUCCCCUUCCAGUUGUCUGAGGAAAGGUUUAGAGCAGAGAUCAGCCAACCAACCCUCUUAUUCAAAAGACAUAAAGGGAAGGGGGAGGAAUCGUGGCUGUAUGCAACUCAAUGGCAAAUCCUUCAUGGAGUUCAUCAGGGUCAGGAUUUCCCCCAAAGUCUCUGCUGGGCAAGUAUCACUGCAUCGGUAAAGGAUGUGCCCCAGAGGAUGCCCACUGCACCUCAGGUUUUGGUUCAAAUGGGCUCUGCAGGCAAGGGUCUCAUUUUGGUUCUGCCAGGUUGGAGAUGCCCAACGCCAAGGGCAGAUGAGCACGUGGAGGUCAAACAUCAGUGUUAAACGAACUGCUCAUGUUCGGAGAAAGGGAGCACUUGGAGAAAGGGGUUGGGACCGUCUUUUUUUCUGUCCUGGGGAAGUGAGGGUAGGGUUGCAAAACAUGACCUUGCCAGCGCUAGGUUUUGUAAAGAACCUGGAGCAGAGAGAUUUCAGAGCCUGACUGCAUUGCCUCCAAGCCAUCCAAGGGACACGCACAGUUUGCACGGUGCUUUAGCACAUUGGAACAGCAAUACUGCUCUGGCGACAUGGAUGUACCAAAGGGCAAAGCCUGCCAAGCCCAAGGGGCCAGUGUGCUGAGUGUCGCAUUCCUGCUGUACUACAGAAUGGCACUGCUAUUCAGACCACUGGCACUGCUGCUAUGACUUUGCUUCACCUGAGGAUUUUUCCUUCUCUAGUGACAGCAAAGCCUUGGCUGCCAGCUCCUGGGCUGAUUUUUGGAAACUUCACAUUUUGCGGGCUGUGUCCCUGAACCUUGCUGGAACGGAGGGCCGUUGUGCUGUAGGAAAGCGGAGUCGAUUCAAAGCAAUGUCAAGGGUUAAAUGCAAAUCAGCUUGAUGGCGCUGCAGAAGGAGCUGCACAGAAGGUAUCUUCCCGGGUGGGGGAGGGAACAGAGAGGCCUCCUGCUAUCUCUGCCCGUUCUGGGGGCUGAGCUCCCAGCAUGAGUUAUGGCCUCCAGCUGCUCUAGCGAGCUGCAUCUUGUCCAGGGCAGGUCUCCGAGGCAGCCCAGCAUCCCUGUGGCACUCAGUCCUCCGGAUGCAACCUGGCAGGGCCCCUAGGCCCAGAUGGCUGAGGGAGCACUGCAUUUAUACUGUGGGAAUUCUCCAUUGGUCCCUCCCAGAGCCAGUGCCAAGGCUGAAGCAGGGGAGAGGCUGUCCAGUGGGUACCAAACCAGAAAAAGCCAUGCAUUGCUUUUUGGAGAUCAGAAACACAGGCCAAGUUGGCCUCUCCAUCUUUCACUCAUGUUGUGUGCACUGAAUUCCAAGAUAUCGUUUAUUUUUUAGCACCUCGGAGGAGCAAGUGUGAGUUGGGGGCGUCUCUCCGGGCCUGUGAAAUAAACCCCACUGAACAUUUUCGGAUGUAUUUCUCCCCCCAUGCAUUCUCCCUCCACUCUGCCCCUGGCUCUUCCUUCCCGGGCACAGAGCCUGGCAUAAGGAGCCCAGGAACAGGAGUCUGCAUUGGUGCAUCUGACUGCAGGACCCAGGGCAGGGUUGUCACCCCACCAGGAUUACCCUGGAGUUUCCAGGAAUUAGAUAUAAAUCUCCAGGAGACUGCAGAGAAAUGAUAGAGCAUUCAU